AGGAAUGCUACCUGGUGAUCCUGCCAGAGUAG
Molecule: ribosomal RNA, 32 nt
Filed under: Calycera crassifolia
Lineage: Eukaryota; Viridiplantae; Streptophyta; Magnoliopsida; Asterales; Calyceraceae
Description: partial 18S ribosomal RNA
Source: RNAcentral